AACGAACGCUGGCGGCAUGCCUAACACAUGCAAGUCGAACGAGACCUUCGGGUCUUGUGGCGCACGGGUGCGUAACGCGUGGGAACCUGCCCUUAGGUUCGGAAUAACUCCCCGAAAGGGGUGCUAAUACCGGAUAAUGUCUUCGGACCAAAGAUUUAUCGCCUUUGGAUGGGCCCGCGUUGGAUUAGCUAGUUGGUAGGGUAAAAGCCUACCAAGGCGACGAUCCAUAGCUGGUCUGAGAGGAUGAUCAGCCACACUGGGACUGAGACACGGCCCAGACUCCUACGGGAGGCAGCAGUGGGGAAUAUUGGACAAUGGGCGAAAGCCUGAUCCAGCAAUGCCGCGUGAGUGAUGAAGGCCUUAGGGUUGUAAAGCUCUUUUACCCGGGAUGAUAAUGGCAGUACCGGGAGAAUAGGCUCCGGCUAACUCCGUG
RNAcentral lists this ribosomal RNA (433 nucleotides) under uncultured bacterium. RNAcentral describes it as "partial 16S ribosomal RNA". It matches the Rfam family "Bacterial small subunit ribosomal RNA", at positions 29 to 507 of the family's 1533-position model. The record is from RNAcentral.